GUCCGUCACACAUGUAUUCUUAAUUAACAAAAAUGAAGCAUUGAUUCAUAUUACUUAUAUAUUUUUAUAAUAUACUUACCUGCUCUUAUGAUGUAUUCUCUAAGAAACAACAACUUAUCUUUGAAGGAACAUUCUGAGCACCAAUGUAAGUUAAGUGCAUUUGAUUGGUCUUAAUAGGUUUUUGGCUGGUUCUCAUGCUGUGAUUUUCUCUUUAUUCAAAACUCUUUAGUUUUGCUUAAAAAAAAAAGAAAGAAAGAAAGAACAAUUUUUUUUAGCUUUCUGAGGAUAAUUUCACAAUACGUAUGAGAAACCAAUGUGAGUUGAAUUAAGUAGAUAUCUAAUAAGAGGACAGUGAUUGUCUUUAGAUUGGAAUGAUGUCAGCUGCUCAACUCAAAGUGUUCUCUUACUGGCUGAGCGGAGUACAUACACAGUAUACGUCUAAUAAGGAGGUUGCAUUGUAAAAAGAGGGAUCAUACCUAAGGUGACAGCCUUACAUUGCAAAUUUAUUUUAUUUUAGCAAGAUUUUAAUUUGAAGAAGAACUCAACAUGAAUCAAAAGCAGCCCUCCCUCGCAAAAUGUAUGUCAAUCCUAAAAUACAUCGUGUGCAGAAUAUAUAUAUAUAUAUAUAUAUAUUUCUGCACACACCAACUAAGAAGAAAUUAGAGGGACAUUGCUGAUGAUGGCUGACAUAGAAGAUCACUGACACACACAGACAAACUAUCUGACACACGCAAGCUUACAAAGAAGAAACCCCUUGGCAUACACACUCAAUCUCACUACAGAGACGCUCAUGACAAAAAUGACACACAGAGACUCUCAGGCAUACACACACAAAAAAAAAACUUACUACAGACAAGCUCAGUGACAGACACACACAAACACACACUCAACUCAGUACAAACUCACUAGCAGACACGCACACAAGAUCACUAUCAACAGGGCUGGAUUUACAUUGGGGCUAGUGUAGCUGAAGCUUCAUGCCCAUGUUCCUUGAAUAGGUACAAUGAUACAAAUAAAUAAAUGUACGUAUAUAUAUAUUUAUAACUACAUCUCAUGCUCUUGCUUUGUGCAGAAGGAAUUAAGUAUUGGGACUUAGAAAGGAUGCAGGGGAACAAAGCAAGUGUGGACUGCAGACUUUAAAAUAAUUAACAAAAAACUGACUUUGCAACCUGCGCAAAUGCUCUUGCUACUUUGUUCUCUCUACAGUGUGGCAUAUUACCUUUCUGUUACACUUAAUACAUCUACUUUUUUCUCUGUUCCAGACUGCUUACCAGGAGCUUCUGCCUGCAAAGAAGGGAAAGAGGAGAGUAGACAAUUGAGUGCUGGGUGACGGGGACACCAGGCAACUGUUCCCAGAAAGUGUAGAGCAAGCGCAUCAUUAGAUAUGUUCGGCACAAGCUCAGGAUACUGAAACAGCGCUGUUUGCAUAGUCCGCCCUCUUCCUCUGAAGUAAGAUGGUUUAGGUUCGGAGCUAGAGUGCAGGGAUGCAAUUUGCACCUUUUAUGUGGCCUCACAGUGCUGGCAACCGCAAAGGAGAAUAUGUGAGAGAGACUUACAGUGCUCCCUCGCUCCUUUCUACUACUAGCCUUCUGCUAACUUUGCAGGUAACAAAAACUGAUAGAACACCAGCUGCCAGUAACCUAUGUGACCAAGCCGACUGCACAAGUCCCCAGCACCUUCUUCAUCCUACAGUCUGAGGGGGAAGAAUAAAUUAAUAUAUAAUGAUUUCAGCAAUAAGGCUGCACUGCCUGGCCCCCAGUUACAACUGCACCAGGAAACCUAUCUUUAAGUUGUUUUCCAGGCCCAGAGAUUUCUGGGAGGGGCUUGUGUUGAAUAC
This 1837-nucleotide long non-coding RNA is filed under the name Pelobates cultripes (western spadefoot toad). Lineage: Eukaryota; Metazoa; Chordata; Amphibia; Anura; Pelobatidae. The record is from RNAcentral.